Alexandromys fortis (reed vole) is the source of this 1376-nucleotide long non-coding RNA. RefSeq lists it as uncharacterized. The record is from RefSeq and is a predicted model, not a curated record. The transcript has 2 exons. Lineage: Eukaryota; Metazoa; Chordata; Mammalia; Rodentia; Cricetidae.
GAAAAUAAGUUGCAUUAAAACACUUGAAAUGACAGGAUCAAGUAAGAUUAAACUUGAUGGACCUACUGCAGGCAACCAUUAUUUGGUUUUUCUGACACAACUGCCAACUAUUGGAGUGUUUCCAAAUUUCAAAAGAUAAGUUGGUUCAGAAACACCAUAAGCUAAAGGCCAGCCCCACCUGGGCAUAGAUGUGAUUAUCAAUAAGGGGAGGAAAAAAAAACAAAAGCAUAACACAAAUUAGGUAGCACACGUGAGCUAACAGCACUUGGACAAUCUGAGCUGUCUGGAUUGAGUGAGCAUGGAAAAGCAAGUUCAAUAUUGUAAAAGGGACACCUGCAAUGAGAGGGGGGCAUUUCAGUCUGCAGAACCCAGUGUGCGGCUAUGAUGGCAGCACAUCCCUUACUCAAUAUUCCCAGGGUGACUUCUUCAUCUAUUGUGGGCUAUUUUUUAAGGCAAGGUAUUUUGAGUUGGUUAGUUGAUUUGCCUUUUUACAUUUUUAGUAAUCUUAUAUGAUAGUUUACUGAAAUUUACUCAAUUGGGUUCUUGUAUUUGGGAAUAGAGACAUCCAAUAAAGUACCCCCAUUCCAGCCUGCAUCUGUUUUUAUUCUUGACAGAAUCGCCUAGUCCAGCAGUUCUCAACAUGCAGGUUGAAAUCCCUUCUGCAAACUUUUAUCUCCAAAAAAUAUUUACAUUAUAAAUCGUAACAGUAGCAAAGUUACAGUUAUGAAGUAACAACAAAAAUGUUAUGGUUGGGGAUCACUACAACAUAACGAACUGUAUUAAAGGUCACAGCAUCAGGAAGGUUGAGAACCAUUGGCCUAAACAUACUGAUGAAGAAACAAUGUUCUAACGAUACAGUCAAGGAAGGUAAAGUACUAGAACUCAGGCAGGACCAAGGACAAAUGCAGCCAGUGUUGGGAUCCACUUCUCCCUCAGGGAGCUAAGCAGACACUGAAACACUUCUGUGGAGAAACUACUGAGAGCUGGCUAGCUGUGGCUGUAACUAACCCCUCUGGUCACCCGUGAACUGUGGAGUGUGAAAGCACACCCCACCGACCCCAGCCAUAGAGGACAGGUCACUACAAACUGAGCAGCUGAGUCAGCUGUGUCCACUAGGAGACACAGCACCCUUACAAGUGUAUACCCGGCUCUCUUUUUCCAGAACUGCUAAAACAACAUCAAUGGACAAAGCUGGGGAAGUUCACUAGAGUUAGGAAAAUGCCCCAAUGAGUACACCCAGUGUAAACACCAGUCCAGUCAGUAAACAUCAUCAGCUUCACCCAAACUUUGGUCAAGCCUUUAUUCAAGCAUGCUUAUUAAGUUGGCCUUUUAUUAUUUAUUACUAUUAAUCUUUGCCUUUAAAUGUCCAUGUAUCA